CUUUUAACACAGCAUGAAAAUACUUAUUGUUUGAAUCUCCCAAUUGUAUCCAUUUGGCUCUAGAUUUCUGCUGGAGGAUACUUUCUUCAAUCAGUGACCACUUCUCCAUCUUCAAUAACGGAUCCUUUUCUUUAGCCUGCAAAUCAUCAGUAUAUUGUGAGCUCAUCUAGUGCUGGAUGAUUUUUAGUUCCUCCCUGCU
RNAcentral lists this long non-coding RNA (199 nucleotides) under Nicotiana benthamiana. RNAcentral's name for it is "long non-coding RNA (NBEN_LNC027066)". The record is from RNAcentral. Lineage: Eukaryota; Viridiplantae; Streptophyta; Magnoliopsida; Solanales; Solanaceae.